GCCCUCGGUGGCUCAGAUGGAUAAAGCGUCUGCCAUGUAAGCAGAAGAUCCCGGGUUCGAGUCCCGGUCAGGGCA
Molecule: transfer RNA, 75 nt
Filed under: Schistocerca americana (American grasshopper)
Lineage: Eukaryota; Metazoa; Arthropoda; Insecta; Orthoptera; Acrididae
Description: tRNA-Thr
Rfam family: tRNA
About the family: Transfer RNA (tRNA) molecules are approximately 80 nucleotides in length. Their secondary structure includes four short double-helical elements and three loops (D, anti-codon, and T loops).
Source: RNAcentral